RNAcentral lists this transfer RNA (102 nucleotides) under Trametes cinnabarina. RNAcentral describes it as "Pycnoporus cinnabarinus tRNA". It matches the Rfam family "tRNA". From Rfam's summary of the family: Transfer RNA (tRNA) molecules are approximately 80 nucleotides in length. Their secondary structure includes four short double-helical elements and three loops (D, anti-codon, and T loops). The record is from Rfam by way of RNAcentral. Lineage: Eukaryota; Fungi; Basidiomycota; Agaricomycetes; Polyporales; Polyporaceae.
GCUUGGAUGGCUCAGUUGGUUAGAGCGCAGGUCUCAUACUAUGGUAUGACCACCCAGCGGUGGGCAAUCCUGAGGUCGUGAGUUCGAGCCUCACUCCGAGCA